CUCGUGGUAGCUCAACGUGUAGAGCGUCGGACUAUAGUUCCGAAGGUUGCUGGUUCAAACCCAGCUCGCGGGA
RNAcentral lists this transfer RNA (73 nucleotides) under Actinia tenebrosa (Australian red waratah sea anemone). Its description in RNAcentral is "tRNA-Tyr". It matches the Rfam family "tRNA". Rfam says of the family: Transfer RNA (tRNA) molecules are approximately 80 nucleotides in length. Their secondary structure includes four short double-helical elements and three loops (D, anti-codon, and T loops). Further hydrogen bonds mediate the characteristic L-shaped molecular structure. tRNAs have two regions of fundamental functional importance: the anti-codon, which is responsible for specific mRNA codon recognition, and the 3' end, to which the tRNAs corresponding amino acid is attached (by aminoacyl-tRNA synthetases). tRNAs cope with the degeneracy of the genetic code in two manners: having more than one tRNA (with a specific anti-codon) for a particular amino acid; and 'wobble' base-pairing, i.e. permitting non-standard base-pairing at the 3rd anti-codon position. RNAcentral also lists the same sequence under 1 other name. The record is from Rfam by way of RNAcentral. Lineage: Eukaryota; Metazoa; Cnidaria; Anthozoa; Actiniaria; Actiniidae.